Molecule: long non-coding RNA, 4163 nt
Filed under: Marmota monax (woodchuck)
Lineage: Eukaryota; Metazoa; Chordata; Mammalia; Rodentia; Sciuridae
Source: RNAcentral
GCUGUUUUCCUAGCAAAGGGCAGGGACCACCACUGGCUGAAUUAGAAAUCCUUAACUCCUAAUGCCCGAUGCCCAAAGACCCAAAGCAAUUCAAAAGUUCAGCCUCUGGGGAGUUUCCCUGGUUGUGACACAGGGCUUAUGGUUGAUUUCAGGGAAGCUAGACUUGUGUUACUUUGCAAUGAGCUACGUCUAGCAAAUAGAAUCUUAAAAUAUCUACAAAUGCAGACCUAUUUGAUCUCUUCAGGACUAUAUUGUAAUCAUGGAUACACAUGAUGCACAUUUCACAUUUCCAAAGGUUUCUUUUGGCUUUUAUUUUUAUCCUUUUGGCUCAUCCCACAUCCUGGAAUGAAGAAGGCCACAGCAUGACAGUGCAAAAAGGAUGCAGGGACUUCAAGCUCUCUUGAAAAUGAUGUUUUUCUUUGUGCUUUUGCGUUUCUUAUUGUUUCUCUGUGCACUACUGGCUUUCCGACAUGCUUUGUUAUGGAACUCUCUUCACUUGUGUCUAAUGUAAUGAAAUAUUGUUAUAGUCUUUGUAAUGUAUAUUGUCUCAAGAAUAAAAUGAAAUGUGGGUUUGGGGAUAUUUGACAGGUGUAUUUAACAGCAUUGUUCUAGUUGUAUUGUGGAAUCUUGAAUGUAUGUGUCUAAAGUAGUGUAAAAAGAUUUCAGAAUGUUCGUUUCAAAAAAUGACUUGCAAAAGGCAUGAUUCAUUUAAAAAUCGGUAAAGCCCUGGUCAGAUUCUACAAAUUUAUUUCCAAAGCUGGAAAUAAAAUUCCAUUUUAAAACUCUGAAUGUUCCACACUCACUGUGCUCUAACCCAGGAGUAGGAAUCGAAGUGACAGUCAGUGGAAACCAAACAUAAAAACCAGGCUGAGUGAAGUUUAGCUAACCCAAAGUUUAGGUCAUAAUCUUUACAUUUUGUUUUUUAAUUCAGCCUUUUCUUCAGUAAGUUGCUUUUCUAAUUGUUGUAAAUUCUUGUAAGUCAGUGAAUUAUCCUUUAGUUGUUUUAGAAAGUGGCAUGUAAAGACCUUACUAAAUUGGAAAAAUAAAAUUACAUGAUCCUUUUUCCUGUGGUGCUCAUCAAGACUACAUUUUCUAAAUUAGUCCCUAACACCACUGGAAAUUAUAAGUCACACACCUUUGAACACUUUAAGACUAAACAGCCUUCCUCUGUCUCCACACAACUUCUCAUGUUGUGGGGGUUUGCAAACCUUUGGGAAGCGGACAGUUGAAAAAAUUCCCCAGGUGACUCCACUGUCUGAGAUCACUCCCACUCCCCCGUCCCUGCUCCUCUCCCUCAGGGACAACUACCGAUGUAACAAAACAAUCUACAAAAAGAGCAUUAAAUGUGAGUAUUGCUACCAGUCAGACCAGCUGUUUGUAGUAUAUGUAACAUUUUCAGAUUUUUGUUUUUAAAACAUUCAGUUCACACCAUUAUUACUUAUCAGAUGCAUUAACAUAUGGAUUACAUUACACAUUUAGUUAUAGACGUAUCAUUGAACUUGGGCCUAAGUCAAAAGAAAGACUUUGGGGCAUAUCCAGAGUUAGAAAUGCACACAAUAAUGCUAAGAGAGCACAGCUUCGAUAAGAUCCAAUAAUUUCUCCAUUUUGAUUGGGCAUAUUUUUCUCAGUCAACCUUCUUAGUAUGAAAAUUCAGUGGACAAGAUUGAACUUGAAAGAUGAUGAAAAUUUAAGCUCCAGGAUUUAGAAUCAAUUGGAGAAGACUUUAUUAAAGAGUAAAAAGAUGUACUUCUCAUUUGAAAGAGCAGAGAAGCCAUUUUUACCCAGCAAAGACAACCAACACAAAAAGGGCUUUGUUUUUUCAUGAAUCAGGCCUCUGGUGACUCCAUGCAGUCGGUGCUUUUUAAAUGUGUACAAAUAUUUUUUAUCAACCUGGCUGUUGUUUCAUAGCUUUGAUGUGUAGUAUCUCUUUAUAGGAUGCAAUUUUGAGACACAGUCUGCACCUUACUCUCAAUUAGGCAAGUAUACCUAUUGUAAUUGUUAUCUUUGACUUAUGUGACUGGUAUGCUCAAUUUCCUUCACAAAAUAAAUGGCAGCAGCUUAUUUUAUGUCAAUAAAAUUGUCUAAUUGUCUUCUCACCCCUUUAUGAGUUUUUCAAAUUCUUAGCAAAGUGGAAAAAAAAUCUGUAUUUUUAAUGUUAUAUCUCAAAGCUUACUUCCCCCCAGUUCUCUUAUGCAUCAGUACAAAGCACCCUUUAUGAGCAUUAAAUGUGGGUACUGCUACAAGUCAGACCAGCUGUUUGUAGUAUUUGUAACAUUUUCAGUGGAUCCCUUUGUGGUAUUAGUCUAUCAAAAGAGACAUGUUUUCUUAUCAAUGUCAAUUUUGCUUCCUAUUUUUCUCCCCCAUGCCUUUCAUUGGAAUGACAACAGUUGACAUUAAAAAGCUGUUGGCAGGUAUGGAAUGACCUUGUUCUAUUACCAGUAGCAAAGACUGAAAUGCAUGUGAGGUGGCUCACAGGUUUAAUAAGUCAGCAAUUUCAUCUCGCUAUAGUGUAUUAUUUGUAGGCAGCAUUUAGAAUGGGGGGUACAGCAAUGUAUACAAAGACGUCCUUCUAUCUGUGCUUAAUGUCCAAACUGCCUACUGCUCCAGCAGAACAGAGUACAUAUUAGUUUUAGGAGUAGCACAUUUUCUAGUUAGGAAGGAAGAAACCUGUCCUAUAUUCAAAUCACAAUCAUCCGUGGAAAUUAGUUGAUGUUGCUUAUAGCCUCACAGCUUCUGAGCGGGCAGGAAAACCAAGAAAAUUUUCAAAACAAUUAGACAUUAGCACUUCUGCCUAAGGGCUAUUUCCUGAUUUCAUUCAGUGUGUUUUAUCCCUCCUCCAUCCAGGACUCUAGAUCUAGCCUCCCCGCCUCAGGGGUUACACAGGUACCUUAGUGCAUCCCCUCUCCCUUUAUGUCUCUGGUGCACUGUUCUGCCAGUCACCAGAGAAAGGGACUUGCACCUUCCAAACUCGAUGCUACUUCACUCCCGGAUCACCCAGUUGGGAGUGCAGUCUGCGCCAGGUAACCCCUGCUGAAUCGGUCGUGUGUCCUCCAUCUGCUUCUGGUGCAGAGUACCAACUCCCAGGAUGUGCCCCUGUCUGCUCACUUAUGGCCCCUCUGGCCCCGGACACCUCCUUCCUGCAUGGCAGCAUGAAAACUUGACACGAUGCUCCUCACCCACCCAGGGGUGUGUUUCAGCCUGUUGGAUCUGCCUUAAUAACCCAAUUCCUUUCUGUUGUUCUCAGUGGCCUGGUUUGCUUUCGACCCUGGCUCUGCACACUCGGACAUCAUCUUCUCCAAUGACAACCUGACAGUGACCUGUAGUAGCUAUGAUGACCGGGUGGUCCUGGGGAAGACUGGCUUCUCCAAGGGAGUUCACUAUUGGGAGCUAACGAUAGAUCGCUAUGACAACCACCCGGAUCCUGCUUUUGGCGUAGCUCGCAUGGAUGUGAUGAAGGAUGUGAUGUUAGGAAAGGACGACAAAGCUUGGGCAAUGUAUGUGGACAAUAACCGGAGCUGGUUCAUGCACAACAACUCGCACACCAACAGGUACCCUGCAGCCCCAAACCAAGCCUUCUUCACGUUGGCUUCUGGUCACUGAUGAGAACCCUGGUCCAAAGACCUGUUACAUAGGUGACAUUAAGAAAGGGAUGGUAGUUUUCAUUAAGUCACAGAAGAGAUCCAUUACUCUAAGCUGUGUCCAUCUUGCAGGUGGACCUUUUUUGCAUAAUAACAAUAAUAGACAUGUGCACUUUUCUUAGCCCUUUAUUGCUAUGUUACACCCAGGACUAGGAACUAGAGUCCCUAGGGAGAUCCAUUGUAGAAAAACAAUGCAGGAUUCUAAAACCCAGGCCUAUGACUUACCAGAAAAGUGCUUCCAGACAAAGUAAUAUUUGUUUUUCCCUAUGUGGGUUUGCAUAUGCUCCAAGUUAGUAAAAAAAAAAAAAAUCCAUACAGGAGUAUUUAAUCUGAAGAUUAAAUGAGAUAUAAAAAAUUGCCUAACGGUGCAGGCACCAGAAAAUAAAAGCCAUUGUUCUUAUUAUAACAAUACUACUCCAAAUAGAAGCAAUGCAUUGUACAAAAUCUUCUUGAUGCCAAUUUGGGGAGCUUUGUUCUAAGACUCUCUUAUUAUUGUAUGAAUUCAGAGCACCCAGUUGCUAAAGA